This 1644-nucleotide ribosomal RNA is filed under the name Dictyostelium brefeldianum. RNAcentral's name for it is "SSU rRNA". It matches the Rfam family "Eukaryotic small subunit ribosomal RNA", at positions 143 to 1732 of the family's 1831-position model. The record is from RNAcentral. Lineage: Eukaryota; Evosea; Eumycetozoa; Dictyosteliales; Dictyosteliaceae.
AUAACCGCAGUAAAUCGGGGCUAAUACAUAGAAGCGAUGGGUGACUGGUAACGGAAGCUCAGCGAUUAUUAGCAUAACUACCAAUACCUUCGGGUCUUGUGGUGAAACCGAAUAAUAUUGCAGAUCGAGGAUUUACUUCGACAAGUCUAAUGUGUCACUGCCCUAUCAACUUUCGAUGGUACGGUAUUGGCCUACCAUGGUUGUAACGGGUAACGGGGAAUUAGGGUUCGAUUCCGGAGAGGGAGCCUGAGAAAUGGCUACCACUUCUACGGAAGGCAGCAGGCGCGCAAAUUACUCAAUCCCAAUACGGGGAAGUAGUGACAAUAAAUAUCAAUACCUAUCCUUAAUGGAGGGCAAUUGAAAUGAACACAAAUUAAAACUCUUAAUUAACACAAUUGGAGGGCAAGUCUGGUGCCAGCAGCCGCGGUAAUUCCAGCUCCAAUAGCAUAUACUAAAGUUGUUGCAGUUAAAAAGCUCGUAGUUGAAGUUAAAGGUUUAUUGGGUCAAAGCUAUUUGCCGCUCUGGUGGUUAAAUAUGCUCCAGUAUUUCUUUUUUUUUGAAAAAUUGUUCAGCUUGUAUCAACUUUGUUGGUACUCGUUUGGACAUUUCACUGUGAGAAAAUUGUGGUGUUUAAAGCAGGCGUCUCGCCUGAUCUUUUGCAGCAUGGUAUGAUGAAACAUGACAUUUUGCGCUAUUGGUUUGCGUCUAAAGUGUAAUGAUUAAUAGGGAUGGAUGGGGGUGUUCAUAUUGGUGGGCGAGAGGUGAAAUUCGUUGACCCUAUCAAGAUGAACUUCUGCGAAAGCAUUCACCAAAUACUUCUCCAUUAAUCAAGAACGAAAGUUUGGGGAUCGAAGACGAUCAGAUACCGUCGUAGUCCAAACUAUAAACUAUGUCGACCCAGGGAUCGGUUAAAAUUUUUUUAAAAUUUAAUCGGCACCUUGUGAGAAAUCACGAGUGUUUAGAUUCCGGGGGGAGUAUGGUCGCAAGUCUGAAACUUAAAGGAAUUGACGGAAGGGCACACAAUGGAGUGGAGCCUGCGGCUUAAUUUGACUCAACUCGGGAAAACUUACCAAGCUAAGAUAUAGUUAGGAUUGACAGACUAAAAGAUCUUUCAUGAUUCUAUAAGUGGUGGUGCAUGGUCGUUCUUAGUUGGUGGAGCGAUUUGUCUGGUCAAUUCCGAUAACGGACGAGACCUCGACCUGCUAACUAGUAGUAUUUAUUAGUCAAUAUGGGCGAUAGCUUUUCUGGGAUUUAGAGCGAUUUCGGUCGUUUCUGGUUUCAAGGAGUGUGUAGUCUGGCUUGAUAGGUACGAAUUAAAAAAACUUCUUAGAGGGACUACCUGCCUCAAGCAGGCGGAAGUCCGAGGCAAUAACAGGUCUGUGAUGCCCUUAGAUACCUUGGGCCGCACGCGCGCUACAAUGUAUAAAACAAAAAGGUUCCUGGUCCGGAAGGAUUGGGUAAUCAAUUGAAUUUUCUACGUAACUGGGAUUGAUCUUUGUAAUUAUUGAUCAUAAACGAGGAAUUCCUUGUAAGCGUAGGUCAUUACCCUAUGCUGAAUAUGUCCCUGCCCUUUGUACACACCGCCCGUCGCUCCUACCGAUCGAAUGAUACGGUAAAGUUAACGGAUAGUUUUAUCUUUGGCAA